GCCGUGAUAGCCUAGUGGUAGGGCACUACCUUUCACAUGUUAGGGUUAGCAAAGGUUACCACAUGUGUCGGGGAGAAACCCAUGGUUCGAUUCCUGGUCAUGGCA
Molecule: non-coding RNA, 105 nt
Organism: Paramarasmius palmivorus
Lineage: Eukaryota; Fungi; Basidiomycota; Agaricomycetes; Agaricales; Marasmiaceae
Source: the annotation of a GenBank genome assembly